RNAcentral lists this ribosomal RNA (361 nucleotides) under Ehrlichia canis. RNAcentral's name for it is "bacterial SSU rRNA". It matches the Rfam family "Bacterial small subunit ribosomal RNA", at positions 88 to 485 of the family's 1533-position model. Lineage: Bacteria; Pseudomonadati; Pseudomonadota; Alphaproteobacteria; Rickettsiales; Anaplasmataceae. The record is from RNAcentral.
AAUGUUAGUGGCAGACGGGUGAGUAUGCGUAGGAUCUACCUAGUAGUACGGAAUAGCCAUUAGAAAUGGUGGGUAAUACUGUAUAAUCCCCGAGGGGGAAAGAUUUAUCGCUAUUAGAUGAGCCUACGUUAGAUUAGCUAGUUGGUGAGGUAAUGGCUUACCAAGGCUAUGAUCUAUAGCUGGUCUGAGAGGACGAUCAGCCACACUGGAACUGAGAUACGGUCCAGACUCCUACGGGAGGCAGCAGUGGGGAAUAUUGGACAAUGGGCGAAAGCCUGAUCCAGCUAUGCCGCGUGAGUGAAGAAGGCCUUCGGGUUGUAAAACUCUUUCAAUAGGGAAGAUAAUGAGGUUUACCUAUAAA